GUGCCAGCCGCCGCGGUAAUACGGAGGAUCCGAGCGUUAUCCGGAUUUAUUGGGCGUAAAGCGUCCGCAGGUGGUUCAGCAAGUCUGCUGUCAAAGCGCGAAGCUCAACUUCGUAUAGGCCGUGGAAACUGCUGAACUUGAGUGUGAUAGGGGCAGAGGGAAUUCCCAGUGUAGCGGUGAAAUGCGUAGAGAUUGGGAAGAACACCGGUGGCGAAAGCGCUCUGCUAGGCCGAAACUGACACUGAGGGACGAAAGCUAGGGGAGCGAAAGGGAUUAGAUACCCCUGUAGUCCUAGCUGUAAACGAUGGAGACUAGGUGUGGCCUGUAUCGACCCGGGCCGUGCCGGAGCUAACGCGUUAAGUCUCCCGCCUGGGGAGUACGCACGCAAGUGUGAAACUCAAAUGAAUUGACGGGG
Molecule: ribosomal RNA, 415 nt
Filed under: uncultured prokaryote
Description: bacterial SSU rRNA
Rfam family: Bacterial small subunit ribosomal RNA
Source: RNAcentral